Molecule: ribosomal RNA, 497 nt
Filed under: uncultured bacterium
Lineage: Bacteria
Description: partial 16S ribosomal RNA
Rfam family: Bacterial small subunit ribosomal RNA
Source: RNAcentral
GAUGAACGCUGGCGGCGUGCCUAAUACAUGCAAGUCGAGCGAACGGACGAGAAGCUUGCUUCUCUGAUGUUAGCGGCGGACGGGUGAGUAACACGUGGAUAACCUACCUAUAAGACUGGGAUAACUUCGGGAAACCGGAGCUAAUACCGGAGAAUAUUUUGAACCGCAUGGUUCAAAAGUGAAAGACGGUCUUGCUGUCACUUAUAGAUGGAUCCGCGCUGCAUUAGCUAGUUGGUAAGGUAACGGCUUACCAAGGCAACGAUGCAUAGCCGACGUGAGAGGGUGAUAGGCGGCACUGGAAGUGAGACACGGUCCAGACUACUACGGGAGGCAGCAGAAGGCAAUCUUCCGCAAUGGGCGAAAGCCUGACGGAGCAGCGCCGCGUGAGAGGUGACGGUCUUCGGAUCGUGAAACUCUGUUAUUAGGGAAGAACAUAUGUGUCAGUAACUGUGCACAGCGUGACGGUACCUAAUCAGGAAGCCCCGGCUAACUACGUG